Eucalyptus grandis is the source of this 386-nucleotide long non-coding RNA. RefSeq lists it as uncharacterized. The record is from RefSeq and is a predicted model, not a curated record. NCBI's taxonomy places the organism in Eukaryota, Viridiplantae, Streptophyta, Magnoliopsida, Myrtales, Myrtaceae. The transcript is spliced from 2 exons.
GAAGCCCCAACGCCGGCGCUAAAAUCAACGAAACGGUGAGCCCCAAAAUCGAAAGCCCUAGUUCGUUCGAUGAUUGAUUCGCAUCAUUCGAAUCCCUGGAUGAAUUGAAUCGAAAGAGGCGAGACUCGGGAUUGAGUUCUGGUUGCAAUUUAGGAAGCCGGAGGGAAGUUCCGGCCGUACUCCGAGAUGACUGGAGUUUGCGCUCGAUCACGAUGUGAAGACCAGAUUUGAGUGAAAACGCCGUUACCGCAAAUUAUUGCUUGUGCCUACUUCCCAAGCUCCUCCGCCCAAGUCCAGCCCCGCCUGCCGAACCCGCAUAUUCGAGCUGAGAAGAUUAAUGCACGAAAGACCGAUCAGCCAGGCUCGAACCUGCUCGAAAGACCCCC